This is a long non-coding RNA of Magnolia sinica, 466 nucleotides long. RefSeq lists it as uncharacterized. The record is from RefSeq and is a predicted model, not a curated record. The transcript has 2 exons. Lineage: Eukaryota; Viridiplantae; Streptophyta; Magnoliopsida; Magnoliales; Magnoliaceae.
CUAUUCUCAAAAGGCUUCAAAAUGGAUUUACGAAGAUUCCUUUAUGGAAUAUGAGUUAAAGGUCAUUCCGGCUUUAUUAGAAUCUUCAAGUUUUUAUAAAGGGAAACCUAUCUACACCCACAGCCCACCAUGAUCGAUGGAUGCACCCACCCUUUCUACUUUUGGUUAUGCAUUGGUCAAGCAAUGCCUGAAUCAGGAAAGGGUGCGAGUUUCCCACUACUUGCAGCCUAGCAGCUAGGAGAAAUUACUACAGGUGUGUUUUAGUUUAUUUGAUUCCCUACUAUCAGAAAAGGGUCUCUUUAUUCUUCAUGGGUCGGUAUUGCCCUUGGUUGUACAUGUAUGGCGUUGGGUAGUGAACCACAACAUGCGAUUCAAAAGAGAUGUUUAAAAUUCCACUUUAAAGUGUACUUGUUUUUUUUCGAAUUUUCGAAUCCCUUCUCUCAAAUUUCAAAUCCCUUAUCUCAAA